RNAcentral lists this ribosomal RNA (254 nucleotides) under uncultured bacterium. Its description in RNAcentral is "partial 16S ribosomal RNA". It matches the Rfam family "Bacterial small subunit ribosomal RNA", at positions 524 to 776 of the family's 1533-position model. The record is from RNAcentral.
UACGGGGGGGGCAAGCGUUGUUCGGAAUUACUGGGCGUAAAGGGCUCGUAGGUGGCCAACUAAGUCGGGACGUGAAAUCCCUCGGCUUAACCGGGGAACUGCAUCCGAUACUGGAUGGCUUGAGUUCGGGAGAGGGAUGCGGAAUUCCAGGUGUAGCGGUGAAAUGCGUAGAUAUCUGGAGGAACACCGGUGGCGAAGGCGGCAUCCUGGACCGACACUGACGCUGAGGAGCGAAAGCGUGGGGAGCAAACAGG